This is a non-coding RNA of Pelobates cultripes (western spadefoot toad), 367 nucleotides long. Lineage: Eukaryota; Metazoa; Chordata; Amphibia; Anura; Pelobatidae. The record is from the annotation of a GenBank genome assembly.
AUAAUAUGAUGUAUUCAUAAUGUAAUUGUUAUUUAUGUACGUUAUUUCCCUCUUUGCCAUAAAUGUCCCGAGAUGGAACGCACACGUCACAUAGUGUGCGUUCCAGCCGGCUUGUUGCCAUGCCAAUAUGACGUCAUCACGCCGGAAACCGGGCUGACGUCUUCAACGGAAUGACGUCAUAACCCGGAAGUGACGCACGACGAAACCGGAAGUGCGUUCCACUGCGAAAUUUUUGCGUUCCAAGAACAGAAAGUCGCAAAAACCCAGAUAUAAAAGGACAAUAAAGAAGAGGAGAAGUAUCACCGACUGAGGAAGCCCCUGGCACGGGGCGAAACGCGUAUCGGUAUUACAGAGACUCCCAUUUUUU